Long non-coding RNA from Triticum dicoccoides, 3678 nucleotides. RefSeq lists it as uncharacterized. Lineage: Eukaryota; Viridiplantae; Streptophyta; Magnoliopsida; Poales; Poaceae. The record is from RefSeq and is a predicted model, not a curated record. The transcript has 9 exons.
UCCAGCACGCGAAACCCUCGCACCCAUUCGCACUGCCGCCUCCGCGGCCGCGCGCUCAACACUCGCCAGGCACCUCGCCGUUUCCGCGUUUCCUUCCUCAAGGGCGACCCCGAUGCCAAAAUCGGCAACCCGGAGCGCGCGCCGUCGUAUAUAAGGAUGCCUCGUCUCCCUAGCCCUAGCCUGCGCCUCCUCUGACCCUCACCCGCCGCCGGCCCCCGAAACCCUAACCCACUCCGGCGAGUAGAUCCGGCACGUUCUGCUCUCUCCGCCACCAGCCGCCAGAGAUGGCCGCCCGCAAUUCAUCUGCGCCCGCCGCACACCCGCUCCACCAGGAUUCCGUCGCCGCCCCCAACUCGCCCCUGCUCGCCGCCGACCCGCUCCACCAGGCUGCCGUGGCCAACCCCAACUCUCCCGUGCUCGCCGCCAACCCGGUCCACCAGGCCAGCGCGGCGGCGUCGUCGGGGAUGUACGGCGCUCCUGGGGCCCUCCCAACCGAGCAAGGGUCUUUGACGGUGCUGCCGCCGCCACAAGGCGCGCCUGUGAUGAAGACGGUCCAGGGCGUGAACAUGAUGGCUCCGACGCCCCUGCAAUGACCCCCGGUGAUGCAAGGGGCAAACACGGUGGUGCCGAUGCCCCUGUGGGAGCUGGUCAUGACCGUGCCCCUACAAGGCAGACCUGUGAUGGCACCUCUGCCUUUCCCCGCAGUCCUCCAUCCAUGAUGGCACCUCCGUCCUUUUAUGAUGUCGCUUCACCAAUGACGGUGCAGCAGCCUCCACAUGCCGGAUACAUGAUGGGCCAGCCGCUGUUGCGUGCCAGCCCUCCACCGAUGGCGGCGCUGCAUCUCCCACAGGCCGUGCACAUGGUGGCACAGCCGCCUUUGCCAGCUGGCCCCCCUCCUCUCAGGCGUCGCCGUCCUGACUACUUUGACAUGCCUUUUGGACCGCGGAUGACUGGUUUUGAGCUGGAAAUGGCUGGAUUUGAUGAAUCAAUGGGACUGCCUUAUGGGCCUUACAUAAACAAUGAGAUGCCUUCUGUUGGUUCGUAUCAAACACCCUACAUGUUGAAGGUUUCCCACCCAACUGUACUAGACGGGAGCUUGCACAUAUAUUUCGCCCUUUUACUGGGUUCUGUGCAGUAAGGCUGGUCAACACAGGAUAUAAUAAUCGACAUGUAAUAGCUUAUGUUGACUUUGAAACUCUUGCCUAAGCCUUCUCUGCCAUGAAGUCUCUGCAAGGUUAUUUGUUUGACAUGCAUGACCUAUACUCAGUCAAAUUGGACCUCCAGUUCCUUCCUGUUCCGUCCAAGAUUCACACGGCAAUCAUUUUGUACAACUACUCUGGUCAUGAGUAAUGUUAAUGUAACAUAUAAUGGAUCUUUCCAUUUUAUGGCUUCUCCUUACGUUUUCAACCCCAGUCUCUCGAAUCCUUGGUGCUUAAUAGAAAAAUCACGGUGCUAGUCAAUGUAGGUUAUGAGGAAUGGCCUGACAUGAAUGAGCCUACCCAGUCUUAUCUUGUGUAACUUAACAGUCGAAGUAGUAAUAAUUGCAGCAGGUUUUUGAUGUUCACCUAGUGUUGCCAUGCAUAAAAGAUUUAAAAAAACAAGAUAAAUAUUGGUAGGAUGUUGGUGCUCAAAUUUGACCAUGUGAUAUUGUGAUGCGAUUCUAACUUCUGCCUGGUCUGACUCCUGUGUGUACGGUGAGGAGCGCAGAUCUACUGCCUUUUGUAGUUCUGUAUGCUAAUGGGAAACCAUCCGAUGAAGGCCCUUGUGUUUCGCUGAGGUUGUUUGUUUGACAUGCAUGACCGAUACCCAGUCAAAUUGGACCUCCAGUUCCUUCCUGGUCCGUCCAAGAUCUGCUGCCUUUUGUAGUUCUGUAUGCUAAUGGGAAACCAUAUAUAAGAUGAAGGCCCUUGUGUUUCGCUGAGGUUAUUUGUUUGACAUGUAUGACCGAUACUUAGUCAAAUUGGACCUCUAGUUCCUUCCUGGUCCGUCCAAGGUAAACUGAUGGCUCGUGCUAGGCGAUUAAUCUUGUGGGUCUCAGUUUCUUAUAUAUCAAUCUGAAACCAUCAAUUUGCAAAUUAUUCUUUGCUUAUGUUACUCCAUGGGUGAGAAUGGACAACUUGAUUAAUUGUUUCCCAGGCUUUACCUGAUACACUAUGAUGAGCCUAUAUUAGAACUGGAAUUGAUUUUUUAAAGUUAAAUGUUGUAUGAGAUGCUCUAGUUUGUCAUUUUGUACCGUAACUUAUCAUGUAUCUGCGUGGCCCAUACAAUACAGUUAUGAACAACUGAAGGUUUCAUAUCACCAAGGUUUUACAAAAGUAAAAGGUUUCUGUUUGGUGGGCAUAUUACGUCAAUAUAGUUUUAUUGUAGAUUACACAAGGGCCAUGACAUGGCAUGUGCCUGGUGCUCUUUAAGCUGCUUACCUUGAAGAUAAGCAAAGUUCUGUUUGCUCCAAUGAUGUUUUCUGUUGUUGGGUUACUCAAGCAAGAUUGAUUGUGUUCGGUUCAUAAUCACUUAGUCACCUAGCCCACUUGUCAUGCUCUUUCGGCUAAAUUGCCACAAUUGUGUCCAUCACACUUCGGCCAACCAAGUAACUAUAUGCCAUGACUCUCGAUCCAUGUUCCUUUGUGUGUGGGCGCCGCACGGGGUUGGGGUGGUAGGAUUCCUUGCGGUUUAGGGCGAGACUCGCGUUGGCAGGGGAGGGAUGCGCGAAACUGCCUGGCGAGCGUCCUGAUUUCCGGUGGAUGCUUGGGAAUUGUGAAGAUCUUUUUGGUGGUGUUUUGCCGUACCGUGUCCUCAUCGGUGGCGGGUGCGUGUACCCGCCGCCCAUGGCAGAUAGUAUGGGAUCUCUCUGUCCAUCCGUGCCACCGGCGAGGUAGGAGGAAACGGCGAGGAGUCAUUUUUUUUAGAAUGGGGCAUGGGAGGAUUUGAGCGGAGAAGGAAGAUGGCGAGAUGAUGAGCCUUAAUGGUGAUGAUAUUUGAGGUUCGCAGUGGGCCUCUUAAUUGUGUUAGAUGUACAUUAUGGAGGCCCAGUCGGGAAAGCCCACUAAGAGACACUGCUGUCUGACGGGUGGGCGCACACAGAGGGCCCCUCUAGGAGACGGAGAGGGAGAUGGCGGCGUCGGCAGGUGCGGCGUGGCAUCGUAUUCGCGGUCAGCGAUGGCAAGAGCGCGCCGCGUAGGAGGAUGGUUGGGAGGCGGAGCGACAGGUAGCGUCGUGGCGCAUGGCCGCACCCGCACCACGGGUGAAGCAGCAGCCGCUAGGGAGCUGAGGCAAGCCGCAAUCGUCCCUUAGUUUCUGUAUACUUCUCUUGUCAGCUGUCACCGUAAUUGUCAAUAGAAGUUGCCAAUUUUGGUUGCUAAUCCCGCAGGUUAGCACAGUAGGCCGAAAAACGUUGUAUCAGCCGCUUUGGCUCUUCUUCUAAGAAAAUGAUGCAUCUUUCCAUGUUUAUUCUAGAAAGAACAGAAGUAGGAGAUGCUAGCUUUGUAAAAUUAUUCUCAGAUGGUGCGACACUGCGACUGCUCCGUAAAAAUGUGCAACUCAAGCAGAAAUGUUGUGUGUGCGUUAGUUUAGAGGGAAUUGUUUGGCCAUGACCCUAAAAAAAGGAACCUAUUUGCCCAUCAAUUCGACCUUGCAAUGUUUUUCAAAUUUAUCCAUGAAUUUGAAUUUGAUUGGAUUAGA